CGUGGCGCGGGCCGGAGAUCCAGCCCGUGCCGGUGCCGCGCGAGAUGAGGGCGUGCAUCGAGUACGACGGCUCGAAGCCGAUCGCCGUGC
Molecule: transfer RNA, 90 nt
Filed under: Streptomyces flaveolus
Lineage: Bacteria; Bacillati; Actinomycetota; Actinomycetes; Kitasatosporales; Streptomycetaceae
Also listed under: 1 other name
Description: tRNA-His
Source: RNAcentral